AGAGUUUGAUCCUGGCUCAGAUUGAACGCUGGCGGCAUGCCUUACACAUGCAAGUCGAACGGCAGCACGGGAGCAAUCCUGGUGGCGAGUGGCGAACGGGUGAGUAAUAUAUCGGAACGUGCCCAGUCGUGGGGGAUAACGCAGCGAAAGCUGUGCUAAUACCGCAUACGAUCUAUGGAUGAAAGCGGGGGAUCGCAAGACCUCGCGCGAUUGGAGCGGCCGAUAUCAGAUUAGCUAGUUGGUGGGGUAAAAGCCCACCAAGGCGACGAUCUGUAGCUGGUCUGAGAGGACGACCAGCCACACUGGGACUGAGACACGGCCCAGACUCCUACGGGAGGCAGCAGUGGGGAAUUUUGGACAAUGGGCGCAAGCCUGAUCCAGCAAUGCCGCGUGCAGGACGAAGGCCUUCGGGUUGUAAACUGCUUUUGUACGGAACGAAACGGCCCUGUCUAAUACAUGGGGUUAAUGACGGUACCGUAAGAAUAAGCACCGGCUAACUACGUGCCAGCAGCCGCGGUAA
Molecule: ribosomal RNA, 520 nt
Filed under: uncultured bacterium
Lineage: Bacteria
Description: bacterial SSU rRNA
Rfam family: Bacterial small subunit ribosomal RNA
Source: RNAcentral